This 262-nucleotide ribosomal RNA is filed under the name Vibrio parahaemolyticus. RNAcentral describes it as "partial 23S ribosomal RNA". It matches the Rfam family "Bacterial large subunit ribosomal RNA", at positions 22 to 286 of the family's 2925-position model. The record is from RNAcentral. Lineage: Bacteria; Pseudomonadati; Pseudomonadota; Gammaproteobacteria; Vibrionales; Vibrionaceae.
CGGUGGAUGCCUUGGCAGUCAGAGGCGAUGAAAGACGUAGUAACUUGCGAUAAGCCCAGAUUAGGUAGUAACAACCAUUUGAGUCUGGGAUUUCUGAAUGGGGAAACCCACUUACAUAAGUAAGUAUCAUUAACUGAAUACAUAGGUUAAUGAGGCGAACCGGGGGAACUGAAACAUCUAAGUACCCCGAGGAAAAGAAAUCAACCGAGAUUCCGAAAGUAGCGGCGAGCGAAAUUGGACUAGCCCUUAAGCUUUACACGCG